CCUACGGGCGGCAGCAGUGGGGAAUAUUGGGCAAUGGGCGCAAGCCUGACCCAGCAACGCCGCGUGAAGGAAGAAGGCUUUCGGGUUGUAAACUUCUUUUCUCAGGGACGAAGAAAGUGACGGUACCUGAGGACUAAGCCACGGCUAACUACGUGCCAGCAGCCGCGGUAAUACGUAGGUGGCAAGCGUUAUCCGGAUUUACUGGGUGUAAAGGGCGUGUAGGCGGGAAAGCAAGUCAGAUGUGAAAACCAUGGGCUCAACCUGUGGCCUGCAUUUGAAACUGUUUUUCUUGAGUACUGGAGAGGCAGACGGAAUUCCUCGUGUAGCGGUGAAAUGCGUAGAUAUGAGGAGGAACACCAGUGGCGAAGGCGGUCUGCUGGACAGCAACUGACGCUGAGGCGCGAAAGCGUGGGGAGCAAACAGGAUUAGAUACCCCAGUAGUC
This 443-nucleotide ribosomal RNA is filed under the name uncultured bacterium. Its description in RNAcentral is "partial 16S ribosomal RNA". It matches the Rfam family "Bacterial small subunit ribosomal RNA", at positions 338 to 795 of the family's 1533-position model. The record is from RNAcentral.